RNAcentral lists this ribosomal RNA (497 nucleotides) under uncultured bacterium. RNAcentral's name for it is "partial 16S ribosomal RNA". It matches the Rfam family "Bacterial small subunit ribosomal RNA", at positions 28 to 507 of the family's 1533-position model. The record is from RNAcentral.
GAUGAACGCUGGCGGCGUGCCUAAUACAUGCAAGUCGAGCGAACAGAUGAGGAGCUUGCUCCUCUGACGUUAGCGGCGGACGGGUGAGUAACACGUGGAUAACCUACCUAUCAGACUGGGAUAACUUCGGGAAACCGGAUCUAAUACCGGAUAAUAUAUUGAACCGCAUUGUUCAAUAGUGAAAGACGGUUUUGCGGUCACUAAUAGAUGAAUCCGCGCCGCAUGAGUUGGUUGGUAAGGUAACGGCUUACCAAGGCAAGGAUGCUUAGCCGACCUGAGAGGGUGAUCGGCCACACGGGAACUGAGACACGGUCCAGACUCCUACGGGAGGCAGCAGUAGGGAAUCUUCCGCAAUGGGCGAAAGCCUGACGGAGCAACGCCGCGUGAGUGAUGAAGGUCUUCGGAUCGUAAAACUCUGUUAUUAGGGAAGAACAAAUGUGUAAGUAACUAUGCACGUCUUGACGGUACCUAAUCAAAAAGCCACGGCUAACUACGUG